GCCUGAGUGGCUCAGUUGGUUAAGCGUCUGACUCUUGAUCUCAGCUCAGGUCUUGAUCUCAGGGUUGUGAGUUCAAGCCCCACAUCAGGCU
RNAcentral lists this transfer RNA (91 nucleotides) under Ailuropoda melanoleuca (giant panda). It matches the Rfam family "tRNA". From Rfam's summary of the family: Transfer RNA (tRNA) molecules are approximately 80 nucleotides in length. Their secondary structure includes four short double-helical elements and three loops (D, anti-codon, and T loops). RNAcentral also lists the same sequence under 2 other names. The record is from Rfam by way of RNAcentral. Lineage: Eukaryota; Metazoa; Chordata; Mammalia; Carnivora; Ursidae.